This 274-nucleotide ribosomal RNA is filed under the name uncultured bacterium. RNAcentral's name for it is "partial 16S ribosomal RNA". It matches the Rfam family "Bacterial small subunit ribosomal RNA", at positions 523 to 796 of the family's 1533-position model. The record is from RNAcentral.
AUACGGAGGGUGCAAGCGUUAUUCGGAAUUACUGGGCGUAAAGGGCGCGUAGGCGGCGAUGUAAGUCAAAUGUGAAAGUCCUCGGCUUAACCGGGGAAGUGCAUCUGAAACUGCAUUGCUUGAGUAUGGGAGAGGAAAGUGGAAUUCCCGGUGUAGAGGUGAAAUUCGUAGAGAUCGGGAGGAAUACCGGUGGCGAAGGCGACUUUCUGGACCAAUACUGACGCUGAGGCGCGAAAGCGUGGGGAGCAAACAGGAUUAGAAACCCUAGUAGUCC